UACAGAGGGGGCAAGCGUUAUUCGGAAUUAUUGGGCGUAAAGGGCGCGUAGGCGGCCUGGCGAGUGGAAGGUGAAAUCCCUCGGCUUAACCGAGGAACUGCCCUCCAAACUGCUUGGCUUGAGUCCGGGAGAGGUGAGUGGAAUUCCCAGUGUAGCGGUGAAAUGCGUAGAUAUUGGGAGGAACACCAGUGGCGAAGGCGGCUCACUGGACCGGAACUGACACUGAGGCGCGAAAGCGUGGGGAGCAAACGGG
RNAcentral lists this ribosomal RNA (253 nucleotides) under uncultured bacterium. Its description in RNAcentral is "partial 16S ribosomal RNA". It matches the Rfam family "Bacterial small subunit ribosomal RNA", at positions 524 to 776 of the family's 1533-position model. The record is from RNAcentral.